UGUAUUUUCAGUGGUCUGGCUGCUGGUUCCAGCUGGGAAAAAGAAAGAAAAUGACAACAAAUGUGACUGAAUGAAAUGUACCUACAGUGCUUCACCAAGCUUAAAUUUAAACCUCAUUUUGCGACAUUUUGAUUUUGCGACAACUGCGAAUAAAAGUAUUGGUGCAUGGGCGUAACCACCAUCUCAGAAGUGAGGAAGACAAAUUUUUCAGAGCGAUUUAUCAUUCUCUUACAUUUAAUUGCACCGUCCUUAGUGGCUAAAGAACCACAUAAUCCCUAACAGCCACAGUACAAUACCAGGGGACCAACUAGGCUAGUUCUUUAAACUAUAAAGUAUAAAACUUUAAACUAUAAAAUCUAAAGUUUUAGUGGCCAAACUCUAGUUGAGUUGACAACAAUGUCCCUUGAACAUCUACUGGACGAGUAGCCAAAGGUGCCAAACACUGAACAUGAAAUGAUCAGUACUGCCUGGUUUCUCCCUGCAAUAGAUAUCUUAUUCUCAGGAAGUUAUAAUCUCUCCUUACCUGUAAAGACCCAACAUCCUUGUCCCUGCUGCUGGCCUCUGAUCCAUCUCCUCCCUGACUCUGCUCUUUCUGUUAUGGCAAUAAACAUAAAAAAUGUGGUAAGAAAAAUUCUGAAAUAGCAUUAGGAAGAGUAAAAAUUGCAGUAGAAUUUAACCUCAAAAUCACUUUAACCCAUAGAUACAUAUUUUUUUCUCAGCCACUUAUAUAUAUAUUUUUUUUCACCUCUGCAGACCCUGCAUGGUCAACAUUACUGCUGGCCGCCGCCUCUGGUCCAUCUCCUGCCUGACUCUGCUCUUUGUUAUGGAAAUAAUCAUUAAAAAAUCUGAAAAUCAAAAUUCUGAGAUAGAAUUUGAAAGAGACGCAGUAAAAAUAGUUGUAAAUUUAACCACUUUUAGACCAUAGAUAGCCUAUUCUUUUUUUCCUCCCUGACUCUCCUCUUUUGGGACCAAAAGACUUAAAUACAUGGAGAGCAAUUGUGAGCACAUCUUCUGCCCAGAAAUGAAAGAGGACUGGGUUUAUUCCAAGAAUAAACUAAUUAGCAAGUAAUGUAACAGAGGCAACCACAAUUGAAUUAUUGUUAACAAGCUUAACAUAUUGAUAUAUUGCCAUGUUUUACCUUGUCAUCAUUUAGCUAACAAGUCUAACAUUGUUUGCAUCCAACAAGGUCACACAACUUACACGGUUUGUUUGGAAAAAACUGUGUAAAGUUUUUUGCUUCUUGCUGGCUCUGGCUGCUUUGCUAAACAUUACUCCAGACGCACGUUCAGCACUGCUCAGCACAGCAGCACGUCUCCUGUGGAACACCUGCGUUAGCAUGCGCUCAUGGUGCAUUCAAAGACGGCUCGGGAAAACACAUUACUGGAUGCUAAUAACGGGUUUAGCUGUUGUAACGGCUGAAAAAAGUGCGGGGGACAGAAGGGACAGAUGUGGAAAGUGCGGGGGACAUGUCCCACGCGUACCCCGCGUCUGUUAUGCCCAUGCAUUAGUGUAAUAAAGGAUAACCUGCCGAUGCGUCUAUCAAAGCGCCAUACAGGCCAAUAUUUCUUCUAUUUGUCCAAUGUCCACUUGCACGUGGUGGCCUCGUUAUAUUGGCUAGCGUUAGCAUGGUGUUGCCCACGUACUUAAAAUUACGACUGGAGGAAAUAUGUUCAAGCGACUCAGAACGCUGACUCCUGUGAACGCACCUUUAGUAUAUUUGCCAUAAACAAAACAACACUUACCUGAGACACAAAAAAUGAAAACGGCUAAGGUGAAACGUUUUUAACACAAUGACAUUGAUAUGCUGCUGCUGCUUCUUCUUCUUCUUCGCGGACUUUCACGUACACACCGGAACCAAACAGCCAAUUCCUGGAUCUUGAGCAUGAACGUGACACAAGGGUAAGUGGAAAUCAUUCUGACUUCCGCGGGCCUGUAUCCCACAAGUUUACUCUGUUUACGGAAUCUCUCUUAAACCUAGUAACAGUACUUUUAAAGGUGUUUACAGAUUAACCGAGAGACAUUGUCCUACUUCCCGUUCCAAAGUGGACAAAGGAUACAGUUUAUUUUUUGAGAAGUUCAUCUACAGCUAUGAAGGUUAUUAGCUAACUAGCUUGAGAUCUUCUACGAUGUAAAUGUGGCGCUCAUAAAAUAGUGUGACCACAGUUAUGUGAUAAAAAUUUAGCAUAAUUACUAAGUUCAUUAUUUUGUUUAGUAUGUACAUGUAUGUUGAUAAUAAUUGGGUCUAAAUUAAUUGCCGUUGUACUACUAAAGCUGAAAGAAUGGCACUUCUGUGUAGGCAGCAGUGAGGCGGAACCUUUGUUUGUUCUGGUUGCACCUGGGACCGGUGUGAGGAGACACACCCCGUGCUCUCUUCAGAAGCAAUCUGGAGAGAAACGCGGUGCAGUGAGACUUCAUUGUUCCUGCUUUAUUCACCUGAUACAGGGCCCCUCCCUGAACCACCAUUAUUGUCUCUUGGUAAAGGACUGAAAAGGCUCAGACCGCAACCACUGAUAUCCUCAAUGCUGCAUGGCUUGUCUGAGCUCUCCAUGGUUGACUUCAGGUUCGGACCUGUGCCAAGAGGUUCACCCCUAUCAUACCAGUGUCUUCCAGUUGUAGCCGCACCCACAAGUCAUGUAUAACACCCAGAUGCACCCGUAUUCUCUGAACCGCCAUUAGAAGGCUCAACAUUCCCUACUGUUUUUCCAAACUUUGAGCCAAAUUUGCAACAUGUCCUCCAUCUAAUCAAGGAUAUAAGGUAGUCUACACGCUGUAAGAACCGCUGCAAAAUCUCACAAUGAUAAAGGUUAACUAACAGAGAGUCAUAACAAUAGAAUACAAUAUGCAUUUUCAUAGAUCAACCACUACACGUUCUGCAGUGUGUUGAUAACUCAUUGUCUUCAUGAAUGCAUUUUCUGCAUAGAUGGAAUUGUCCGGAUCACCGAAAACCUACACUGAUGUAUCUAUGCAUUCUCUAAAAUGAACCUCGGUGCCUUACUAAAAUGAACAGGUCUACGUAGCAAAAUGAACAGGGAAUUUACAACAACAUGUUUUAGACUUGUAACAAUCUCUCACUCCUGUGUUUUCUGUGUUUUUGGAGUUGCAAUAGCCAGACAUAAAAAGGAAAAACAACAAACAAAAGAGGUUAUUGUGUAGGCAACAGCUUUUCUUUACUUGUUAAGUUAUGACUGAGCAAACUGAAAGUUCAGUAUGCCAAAUCUCCAUUAGGAAGCACACAUACUUGUAAGCCUUAAACAUGUGAUGUGGUCAUUGAUCAAGCUGUAAUACAUUAAUGACAUUAAUUAAAAUGUAUUGUUUUUUCUACCGACAACAGCAAAACCGAAAGACGUCUCAACUAGAUCGUCGGCAAUAAGUUCCUCAUCAGAGGACGAAAGGAAGAAGAAGAAGAAGCCCAAGAAAAAGAAGAAGAAGAAGCAGAAAGCAAAAAAGAAAAGGUCUAAAAAGUAGAUUAUCUAUGUGAAUGAACAAAUAUUAUUUAUAGUUCUAAUUUUUAGUGGAGUUUGUGUGGCAUUUUUGUUUUGGGGAAUUGGGCACAAUUACGUUUUUGUGAAAUUUAGCAGUACUUUUGUAUAUAGUAGUUGAAUAUUAUUUAUAUAGUAGUUUAGCUUAUGUAGUACUUUCCUAUAGUUAGUUUAAAUAAAUAGAAUAUUUUUUUCUUAUAAGUAAGAGUUAUCAACAAUGCAUACUGUUUUUAUUAUUUUGCUCUGGUUUGUGAAUUGGUUAUUUUCAAAAUAAAUGUAUUUAAUAAUGGAAACAAUGUUACAGAAGCCUUUGUACUUACAGACAGGUCAUGGGUACUUAGAGUGUAAGUACUCGGUACCUGCAUAGGUAGGGAAGGUAGUUACAGGCAAAGUACUCAAUAGUUGCACAGUAAGUGAAGCCAACAAGUGUUCACUUCAUAAUACGGCCCGGUUCCCAGUUGUUGACCAGUAGUUGCAGGUAAAGUACUGGGUUGUUGCAGUGGAAGUACUGGAUAGUUAGACAGUAAGGAAAGACAAGGGUGAUCUUAAGGGAUGGGUAACUUUAAAAGGUGAAUUGGUGUCUCUGAAAAAUAAAGAUAUUAAAUAAAUAAAGAUGUUUUGUA
This is a long non-coding RNA of Acanthochromis polyacanthus (spiny chromis), 4103 nucleotides long. RefSeq lists it as uncharacterized. Lineage: Eukaryota; Metazoa; Chordata; Actinopteri; Pomacentridae. The record is from RefSeq and is a predicted model, not a curated record. The transcript is spliced from 2 exons.